This 460-nucleotide ribosomal RNA is filed under the name uncultured bacterium. Its description in RNAcentral is "partial 16S ribosomal RNA". It matches the Rfam family "Bacterial small subunit ribosomal RNA", at positions 338 to 795 of the family's 1533-position model. The record is from RNAcentral.
CCUACGGGGGGCUGCAGUGAGGAAUAUUGGUCAAUGGACGAGAGUCUGAACCAGCCAAGUAGCGUGAAGGAUGACUGCCCUAUGGGUUGUAAACUUCUUUUAUAUGGGAAUAAAAUGUUCCACGUGUGGGAUUUUGUAUGUACCAUAUGAAUAAGGAUCGGCUAACUCCGUGCCAGCAGCCGCGGUAAUACGGAGGAUCCGAGCGUUAUCCGGAUUUAUUGGGUUUAAAGGGAGCGUAGGUGGAUUGUUAAGUCAGUUGUGAAAGUUUGCGGCUCAACCGUAAAAUUGCAGUUGAAACUGGCAGUCUUGAGUACAGUAGAGGUGGGCGGAAUUCGUGGUGGAGCGGUGAAAUGCUUAGAUAUCACGAAGAACUCCGAUUGCGAAGGCAGUUCACUGGACUGCAACUGACACUGAGGCUCGAAAGUGUGGGUAUCAAACAGGAUUAGAUACCCGUGUAGUC